Molecule: non-coding RNA, 71 nt
Organism: Podarcis lilfordi (Lilford's wall lizard)
Lineage: Eukaryota; Metazoa; Chordata; Lepidosauria; Squamata; Lacertidae
Source: the annotation of a GenBank genome assembly
AUCUCAAAGCUCAGUCAGUAGAGCAUGAGACUCUGAAUCUCAAGGUUGUGGAUUUGAACCCAUUUUGGACA